UACGUAGGGUGCAGGCGUUAAUCGGAAUUACUGGGCGUAAAGCGUGCGCAGGCGGUUUGCUAAGACAGGUGUGAAAUCCCCGGGCUUAACCUGGGAACUGCGCUUGUUACUGGCAGGCUUGAGUGUGGCAGAGGGGGGGUGGAAUUCCACGUGUAGCAGUGAAAUGCGCAGAUAUCGGGAGGAACACCAAUGGCGAAGGCAGCUCGCUGGGACGGUACUGACGCGUGAGACGCGAAAGCGUGGGGAGCAAACAGG
RNAcentral lists this ribosomal RNA (255 nucleotides) under uncultured bacterium. RNAcentral describes it as "partial 16S ribosomal RNA". It matches the Rfam family "Bacterial small subunit ribosomal RNA", at positions 524 to 776 of the family's 1533-position model. The record is from RNAcentral.